RNAcentral lists this ribosomal RNA (585 nucleotides) under uncultured bacterium. RNAcentral describes it as "bacterial SSU rRNA". It matches the Rfam family "Bacterial small subunit ribosomal RNA", at positions 102 to 673 of the family's 1533-position model. The record is from RNAcentral.
ACGGGUGAGUAACACGUGGGCAACCUGCCCUUGAGACUGGGAUAACUUCGGGAAACCGGAGCUAAUACCGGAUAAUAUAAGGAACCUCCUGGUUCCUUAUUGAAAGAUGGUUUCGGCUAUCACUUAAGGAUGGGCCCGCGGCGCAUUAGCUAGUUGGUGAGGUAACGGCUCACCAAGGCGACGAUGCGUAGCCGACCUGAGAGGGUGAUCGGCCACACUGGGACUGAGACACGGCCCAGACUCCUACGGGAGGCAGCAGUAGGGAAUCUUCCACAAUGGACGAAAGUCUGAUGGAGCAACGCCGCGUGAGUGAUGAAGGCCUUCGGGUCGUAAAGCUCUGUUGUUAGGGAAGAACAAGUGCGAGAGUAACUGCUCGCACCUUGACGGUACCUAACCAGAAAGCCACGGCUAACUACGUGCCAGCAGCCGCGGUAAUACGUAGGUGGCAAGCGUUAUCCGGAAUUAUUGGGCGUAAAGCGCGCGCAGGUGGUUUCUUAAGUCUGAUGUGAAAGCCCACGGCUCAACCGUGGAGGGUCAUUGGAAACUGGGGAACUUGAGUGCAGAAGAGGAAAGUGGAAUUCCAAG